RNAcentral lists this ribosomal RNA (490 nucleotides) under uncultured bacterium. Its description in RNAcentral is "bacterial SSU rRNA". It matches the Rfam family "Bacterial small subunit ribosomal RNA", at positions 24 to 518 of the family's 1533-position model. The record is from RNAcentral.
UCAGGAUGAACGCUAGCGGCAGGCCUAUACAUGCAAGUCGAACGGGAGUCCCCCUCGGGGGACGAGAGUGGCGCACGGGUGCGUAACGCGUAUGCGAACCAGCCCGUUCCGCCGGAUAGCCGUUGGAAACGGCGGAUAAUCCGGCAUGGUCCCUUUGGGGGGCAUCCCCCGAGGGCAAAGGGAGACCGGACGGACGGGCAUGCGUGCCAUUAGCUAGUCGGCGGGGUGAGGCCCACCGAGGCGACGAUGGCUAGGGGAUCUGAGAGGACGGUCCCCCACACUGGUACUGAGACACGGACCAGACUCCUGCGGGAGGCAGCAGUAAGGGAUAUUGGGCAAUGGGGGCAACCCUGACCCAGCCAUGCCCGCGUGAGGGAAGUAGGCCUUAGUGGUCGUGAACCUCUUUUGCCGGGGGACAAUGCCGCGGUCGUGAACCGCGGUUGAGGGUACCCGGCGAAUAAGCAUCGGCUAACUCCGUGCCAGCCGCGGC